Long non-coding RNA from Ruditapes philippinarum (Manila clam), 975 nucleotides. RefSeq lists it as uncharacterized. The record is from RefSeq and is a predicted model, not a curated record. The transcript is spliced from 3 exons. NCBI's taxonomy places the organism in Eukaryota, Metazoa, Mollusca, Bivalvia, Venerida, Veneridae.
AAUUUUGCCGAUAUCGGUUUUACAAUGAUAUAUAUAUACAGAGUGACAGAGGGAGUAUUGCAGGACAAAGUAUGAGAUUUAUUUAGAAGUACAUGUUGUUCCCUACAACCGCUAUAUAACAACAGUUGGGGGAGAUUUUAAUUACACAUAUACAUGUAUGACGUGAUUUAAGUUAUUGUUUUAUGCAUUUAAUCUUCACUUUUUGUAAUUUAUUUAGGAACUAUAAUAUUUUUACUGGUAUUCGAAUCAGACAUGUACUUCAAUUAAGAAAACUCUAUGGUGGACAAUUUAAAAUUUUCAAUAUCAGGAGUUAUACAUCGCAAAAUUUGUGAAGUGUUAGAAAGGAAGGUAAUAUUUCAACAAUGAAUAAAAAGCGUAAAUGAAGCCGUUUUUCAAUGAGACCACUUCAGAUACAUUACAAGAAACCAGACAAUCGAUGCUAUGGUUACCAUAUGUGAUAAUUACAGUUGUUUGUCUUAUAUUCCUUGCCAUCAACUUUUGGUUUUAUCACAGAAAACGCCGCCUACAAUAUGAGAGAAAAUCAGAAGUUCUCGAAACUAGGGAGCGUGUUAGGGAACGCCGAGUUAUUCUUAAUAUGGUCAAAGCUAAAUACCAAACAUAUCUUGUUGAUGAAAACGACACACCUAAAGAUGAAAAUGGUAUCGUCCAUUCAAAUUCAAUGCCUUUUAUAUCAAAUGGACAAGGAGUUGCCAAUGUAUAAUACAUAGGGUGAUAACAAUGGGUGACGAUAUGUGAUAUAUUAUUUUAGAUGGAACAGAGAAGUUAUAUUGUGAUAUUGUGUUUUCUCGCAGUAAUGGAUUGCAUUCAAUAUUAUUUCUUACACAGGAAUUAAUGACAAGUUACCGUUUGGGUUUAAUUCAUUCUUCAAAAAGUAUCUUUAUCUAUAAAUUUGGUUAUUUAAGUGAAAGCAUUAAGAAUAAUAAUCUUACCAGUUAUUAAGUGCAUGCAUGCAUU